CUCAGGUCUUGAAGGUAUUAAUUCCCCUUGAGUCAAUUCUCUAAUCCUUUUGUUAGAGUUCUUCUUCUGUACCUGCUUCUUUGAGAAAAGCCGUUUCCCUAUAGAGUAAGAUAUUUCCAAAAGAGAAGUGAUAUGAAUCUUUGAGGAGCUGAGUGACUACCACAUGAAUAGAAGAUAAUGGGAUAUAUUUUAUCUGGAUUGAGAAGCAUCUGCCAAGUACAUCUCAGAGGAGCUGUCUGUUAAGAGGAGUUUAGAAUAGAUUGUUUACUCCAUCAAAUAUCAGCAGAAACUCUACUUUUGCCUUGAUUUCCUCCAUCUAUAUUCUCAGUUGUUAAAGCACAAAGAGAUUUUAGAGAGAAACAAGAAAAUAUUACAGCGUAAUGCAGCAACUAGAGGGAAAGAAUAGGCUUUUACUGGUAAGAGAAUGAAAUUACUUACUGUCCUGUUUCUAUAAUCUCCUGUUCUUUUUCCUACCUAGGGCUUGUAAUUAGAAGGAUUAAGGUCUAGAUACAAAGCCUGUUGCUACUGCUGGGAAUUCUGAUGUCAGCAGGGUUGAAAUCCAGCCCAUGAAUACAGCUUUAUCCAAGAAGGGAAAUAAAGGCCCAGAGAGCAACUCUUCCAAGAAGAGAAGUUGGACACCGGGAGCUGCUGAAUUAUUCUGUGUAUGAGGAAGCUUAUUUGGGAGACAUCACCUACUGCUCCCUCUGUAUUAUUUUCCUGACUGUGCAAACACUGGGCAUUUGUGCAGAGAGCAAACCUCUACCAGUGCAUGGCAACCCAGUGCAGUCCAGUGUGUUCCUGAAUACAUCAGCUGAGCUGUAAGAAUGUACAAGAUCUUUUCAGUGCCAGUGGGAAUGACUGGGAGUAAAUGAAGACAGAAUAUCACCCACAGUCUCAGUAGGAGAUUGCUUCCCACACUGACACGUGUGCUUGGAUAUUCAGAAGAAAUUAUAUGCACCGAAAAUACAACACAUUGUGUCACAGAACCUGGUAAUUUUGAAGAAAAAAAAUCAUUAAGAGCCAAGUUAUAUGCUACACCAGUAAGUAUAGUUUCUGUUGACAUCAUAUUCAUCCCUAGCAGCAGGAACCUUCAGUGUUACAUUUCAUAGCUGUGU
Molecule: long non-coding RNA, 1115 nt
Filed under: Anser cygnoides (Swan goose)
Lineage: Eukaryota; Metazoa; Chordata; Aves; Anseriformes; Anatidae
Description: lncRNA (ENSACDG00005001606.1)
Source: RNAcentral